GGGGGUGAUUGGUCUCGACUCCGUACGUCGAGGUAGGAGAAGCGGGCCGAGGAAGGCGACGAUGAUCUCGUUAACCAUAUGUCGCAAAACAAUAAGUGCCGAGAAUACAUCUCAGCGCAGCCUCGCUCUCGCUGCCUAAGCGAGAAGCAGGCUUGUCAGACCGGGAGUGUCUCCGACUCGGACCCUGGCAUCAGUAAGGGGGCUUACCACUUCAGUUCGGUCACGGAGCUGAGUGGGACAACAAACAGUGACUGGGCCUGUCACAUCGGCUUGUUCGUAUGAUCGAUGGGGUCGAGUAAAGGCAUAACGGACUGCGCCCGGAGAAGUCCUAUUGAAGCGGCGGAGGACGCGGGUUCGAUUCCCGCCACCUCCACCC
RNAcentral lists this transfer-messenger RNA (376 nucleotides) under Mycobacteriales. Its description in RNAcentral is "QHCE01 sp003243955 Standard tmRNA". It matches the Rfam family "transfer-messenger RNA". Rfam says of the family: Bacterial tmRNA, also known as 10Sa RNA or SsrA, is named for its dual tRNA and mRNA-like properties. Its role is to liberate the mRNA from a stalled ribosome. Lineage: Bacteria; Bacillati; Actinomycetota; Actinomycetes. RNAcentral also lists the same sequence under 1 other name. The record is from RNAcentral.